Parasteatoda tepidariorum (common house spider) is the source of this 3211-nucleotide non-coding RNA. The record is from RefSeq and is a predicted model, not a curated record. Lineage: Eukaryota; Metazoa; Arthropoda; Arachnida; Araneae; Theridiidae.
UUAAUAUAUCCAGGAUAUAUUGAACUUUCGAAAAAUCUAUGAGAAAAUGAUUUGAUCAUCUUUUAUUGUGGGAGUAUUAUCCUUAGAAUGUACCCAUUGAAAGAAUCAAUUAUUGAUAAUGACUAGUAUAUUUUGUAACUAGUUGAAACCUUUACCAGAUAAAUAUUGCUUUAUGGUUAUCUAAUUUGGAAUGGAUCCUACAAAUCAUAUUAAUGAUCCCCUAUUGCUUGACACUGUCAAUGAUUCUCCUGUUUUACAACUAUCUGUCUGGAUAGUUGAAGAUGUAGGAUGAUAGGAAAUAUUGGCUUCAAAAAACUAUAAAAAAAUGAACAUUUUAUUAAAGGGAGAGUGAAUUUGGUGUAAUCUAUAUCAAAUGGAGAGGCUUUUAACAGUUGGAGUUCUUGGUGAUUUCAGUAAAUGAAUUGUGACUCAUCACUACUUUUAUGUAUGUACAAUUCUGCAAGUAAACCAAAGAGGAAGGUCACUAUCCUAUUGGAUUACACUUAACCUCUUCACUCCGUAGGUCCACAUAUGUGGACUUCAUAAUCCCUGUUUGUAAAACUCUCUGAAGGACUACUCUUGUUUUUAUUUUAGCACUAUCCUAUUAGAUUUCACUUAACCUCUUCACUCCGUAGGUCCACAUAUGUGGACUUCAUAAUCCCUGUUUGUAAAACUCUCUGAAGGACUCUGAAUGACUAAAACUCUCUGAAGGAAUGGCGACUUCUUUGCGUCCUCGAAAAUGUAAGUAAUUUUCAGUAUUUUAAAUAUUAUUUAUAGAUCCAAUAAAAUUAUUUUUAAUUAACUUAAUCUUUCAACAUCUUAGAAUAGUUUUGUUUGUAAAAAUGUUUUAUUGAAAAUCUGUGCCAAGAAUUAUAAUUAGGUACACAUUUGUGUAACUUUGUCCCCUAUGUUUAAAUUAUUGUAAUAUGAUAGAAGUGUGUUAAUGAAUAAUUAUCGUUUAAAUUGUGAUUUAAUUAUUGUUUAAUAGUAAGUAAUUAUUGUUUAAAUGCAUAAGUAUGUUAAUUAUUUGUUUUUUUUUACUCAAUUAAUUUGUUCUAAUUAUCGCUAUUAGAACAUUAUAUUAGAACAUUGUACAAUAGUUUAACAAAAACUAAACAUUAGUAAGCUGAGUUAUUAUCUUUAGUAAAGCAUUCUAUGUUAAUAGAUGUAUUACUUACAUGAGCAAUAUUAUUUUUUUUACUUUUAUAUUUUAUUCUGAAUAAUGUGCCGGCUUUGUCCUAGUUUAAAAUAAAUUGGUUGGUUUUAUAAACUGCUACUAAAAAUUGAUGUAACUAUUUUUUAAAUGUGGAUAAUAGCACAUAUUUGACAAUAGUAUCUAAAUUAUAGAUUUGUAACAACAAAAUAAUAUAAACAUUUGUGUAUAUGGGAAAUAAAACUUGUAUUAAACUUGUUGGUUAUAAAUUGUUGAACUGAAACUGCUGUUUUUACAUGAAUGACCAAAGCUUUUUAUUUCUAGAAAUCACAGUAUAAGUGCUCUCUUGUGUUAAUUGUAAGGGUGGUGAAAAUAACUAUCUUAAUACAAAAACACAUAUCUACAUGAUUUUCAUCACUUACUUAUUACUAAAAUAAUUACUAGCUGUUUUAUUGUUAUUAUAUACUGUUUUGAUUGUUCAAUUAGAUUGUUUAUCUAUUUAUAAAAUUAGAAUUUUAUAUAUAUUUGUGUUGCUUGAUGGUGUAUAUCUUUGUUGAAAAGGGAAAAUUAAAUUCCUUAUUUCAUACUUAUUUUUAUGUUUUUCCUUUUGAAGUUUGAAAGGUGUUCUUAUAAAAUCUUUUGUCCAAUUCUCCUUUUUUUUUUAAAUGCAGGUCAAGUUUAGAAAAACUUUUCUUUCUUAAUUUGUUAAUAAACCCAAGGUGGAACCAGCUCAGCAUCAAUAUAGCAUGUCUGGCAUUGUUACUAAAGCAGUUAUAGUGUUUAAAAAUGUGAUGUAUGUCACAAAAUAACCAAGGUUCAUGUUGAACUGUGUUCAAUAUUUUUUAAAAAUUUUAACUGUGUUUUUUUUUCUUUAUUAAAAAAAUGUAAUUGUUUUAGCUCACUCUGAUAAACCAUUGCUUAAAAUGUAAAUGAUUUUGUUGAACUAUGUUAUAAAAUUUCUUUCUGACCUCAUAUGAUGAAAGUUUGUUAUAAUCUUUUACAGUGAAUGUCAGGAACAAACUAUAUACUAUUCCCCAUUGAUAAUAUUGCAUAAUUUAUUCCACGGUGCAAUCAGUUUGAUAAGUGGGGAGUAGGUUUAUUUUUGUCACUAAUGCUAGUCUAUGGGCCACAUGAAAGAUUGUAUAAGCAUUUUGCUUAGAUAACAUUCCAUAAUAAUUUUUCUAGUUUAAUUUCACAGCUUAAAAAUUUUGUCAUGUGUAAUUACUUAUCACUUCAUUUCAUAUUUUAGUUUAUUAUUUCAUUUGCUUUAGUGUAUGUUUUUGAUUUGUAAUGUUUUGUAAGCUAUGUGAUUUGUUUCUCUAUAAUUAAAAUUGUAUUAAAAAUUUAGCUAUAUAAUUAAAAUCUAUUAGUGUUAUUUUCAAGUUUUCUGUUUUUACCUCAUAUAGGUACUGUUAUCAGUAAUAUUAGCUAUAAUAUCAAUUCAAACAACUUACUAUUUGAUUUUUUUUGUUUAAAAGCUUAUAGUGUGUCAAGUUUUUUUAAAAAAAUUUCAAAUAUGUUAUUUUUAUUCAUUAUUCCUUUAAGUGUAGAGCCCCUGGGUAAAAUUAUACAGAUAUUUUCCUGGUAUGUUUCAUUUUCUCAUUAUAUAACAUGAAGAAACCAGUUUUUUGGUGUAAGAAACGUAACUGAAAGUUUGGAAAAAUCCUGGACUAACUCUCAGAGGGUUAAAAAUGUAAUACUGAUAAACUAUUCUUUAAAAUGUCUUAAUAAUUGUUAAAUUUUCGAUCUCAAGUUCUCAUAUACACAUUCAUACAUCAAUUUUAAAGUAUGACCUGACUUUGCAUUUAAUUUUUUUAAAUCUGUGGUGUGUUAAGUUCCACAAUUUUAAUAGAAAUUGUUCACAUUUUAUAUAUGUACUUUUUAAAAAUUUUGUAAUAUAUGUAUAUAUUAAAUAAGUAUGUAUAUUAUAUUGUUAAGAGUUUAAAUAUCUUUUAAAAACUCUUUAUUCUGAAGUGUCUUUAAGUGCAGUAUUUAGAACUUCUUGUUAAAGUUAAAACACUAUUUUGAAAUAAAGAAGUUUUAUCCUUUUUUUAUUUA